RNAcentral lists this ribosomal RNA (217 nucleotides) under uncultured bacterium. RNAcentral's name for it is "partial 16S ribosomal RNA". It matches the Rfam family "Bacterial small subunit ribosomal RNA", at positions 122 to 334 of the family's 1533-position model. The record is from RNAcentral.
UAACCUGCCUGGUAGCGGGGGAUAACUAGUGGAAACGAUAGCUAAUACCGCAUAAUAGUAGAUGUUGCAUGACAUUUACUUAAAAGGUGCAAUUGCAUCACUACCAGAUGGACCUGCGUUGUAUUAGCUAGUUGGUGGGGUAACGGCUCACCAAGGCGACGAUACAUAGCCGACCUGAGAGGGUGAUCGGCCACACUGGGACUGAGACACGGCCCAG